GGAGCGUUAGCAUAGUUGGUUAAUGCAUGUGCCUCAUAAGCAUAAGAUCACCCGUUCAAGUCGGGUACGCUCCA
This 74-nucleotide transfer RNA is filed under the name Caudoviricetes sp. RNAcentral's name for it is "tRNA-Met". It matches the Rfam family "tRNA". From Rfam's summary of the family: Transfer RNA (tRNA) molecules are approximately 80 nucleotides in length. Their secondary structure includes four short double-helical elements and three loops (D, anti-codon, and T loops). The record is from RNAcentral. Lineage: Duplodnaviria; Heunggongvirae; Uroviricota; Caudoviricetes.